AAAACAGCACCAAGAAAGCCUCCAAGCUUCCAACAGACCCUGGGUGGCAGAAAUAUUAAAACCCAGUCUGAUAGACCACACUGGUGGACAGCGUUUCCUGGCCGGGUCCCAAGUACCUUAUAUAACAGUGCAGUUUAACUGGGGUCACUGGCCCUGGGCGCGCUGCGGUUGAUGCAGUGGCUGCUGUAAGGGCCAGGUGGGCAGGAGCCCUGACGCAGAGAGGGGCUUGCCCGGGGGCGGGACCGCGGGCGGGCGACAGGCGGCGGCUCACCUCGGUGGCGCGGCAGGUACACUUGUAGGUCUGGCUUGCGGGGCCGCGUGGGCGCGGGCGUGUGGCGCCUCCUCGCCUUCUCCUUGGCCGCCUGCUUCACCUUCUUGUCGUAGUCGUCCCUGCGGGGAGCCGAGCGGGAGUCAGGCGCUGUCACCCGGCCGAAUCCGGCCGGGCCGGGCCUGGGGCGGGGCGGUACCGAGCGAGCUGGUUCCGACGGAUGUGGUGUACGAAGCCGUGGCUCAUGUCCAGACGCCCGCCAGGCUUGCAGCACAACCCGGGCCCGUGAUCCUGGGCCGCCUCCAUUCCUAUUCUGGGUACAGAACCGCCGUAACCGCCACAACUGCCGCGGAAUUAGGGCCUUUGGCUGCGGACCAUGACUUCCGGCCGCCGACCUCGGCUUCCGGCUCCGAUGCCCUUUUUCCGGUUGCGUAGGGGCAGGCGCAGCGGAGUGGAGAUGCUUUCGAAAUUUGAGAACCUUCACCUGAACCUUCAUCUGUGAGCGCUGGUAGAGCUGGAGGUUCGCUUACUUUGUGGAAUCACCUGAACGAAAGAAGGAUUAUAUAGCUAAUACCAGGAAAUUAUUUUUAAAAAUUCGAGUCAUCCACGAAUACUGAAAAUGCAUUCUAUUAAUCUAGAGAUGUUGGCUUUCUCUUCCUAGCCCUUUAGUAUAAUAAACUUCACUAUGAGAGCAAA
RNAcentral lists this long non-coding RNA (964 nucleotides) under Mus caroli (Ryukyu mouse). Its description in RNAcentral is "predicted gene 45051 (MGP_CAROLIEiJ_G0003875.1)". Lineage: Eukaryota; Metazoa; Chordata; Mammalia; Rodentia; Muridae. The record is from RNAcentral.